CUCGUAGGCGGUUCAGUAAGUCAGGUGUGAAAGCUCCGAGCUCAACUCGGAGAGGCCACCUGAUACUGCUGUGACUUGAGUCCAGUAGAGGAGCGUGGAACUCCUGGUGUAGCGGUGGAAUGCGCAGAUAUCAGGAAGAACACCUGCAGCGAAGGCGGCGCUCUGGGCUGGAACUGACGCUGAGGAGCGAAGGCAUGGGUAGCAAACA
This 208-nucleotide ribosomal RNA is filed under the name uncultured bacterium. RNAcentral describes it as "partial 16S ribosomal RNA". It matches the Rfam family "Bacterial small subunit ribosomal RNA", at positions 568 to 774 of the family's 1533-position model. The record is from RNAcentral.